Molecule: ribosomal RNA, 460 nt
Filed under: uncultured bacterium
Lineage: Bacteria
Description: partial 16S ribosomal RNA
Rfam family: Bacterial small subunit ribosomal RNA
Source: RNAcentral
CCUACGGGCGGCAGCAGUGAGGAAUAUUGGUCAAUGGACGAGAGUCUGAACCAGCCAAGUAGCGUGAAGGAUGACUGCCCUAUGGGUUGUAAACUUCUUUUAUAUGGGAAUAAAACGUUCCACGUGUGGGAUUUUGUAUGUACCAUAUGAAUAAGGAUCGGCUAACUCCGUGCCAGCAGCCGCGGUAAUACGGAGGAUCCGAGCGUUAUCCGGAUUUAUUGGGUUUAAAGGGAGCGUAGGUGGAUUGUUAAGUCAGUUGUGAAAGUUUGCGUUUCAACCGUAAAAUUGCAGUUGAAACUGGCAGUCUUGAGUACAGUAGAGGUGGGCGGAAUUCGUGGUGUAGCGGUGAAAUGCUUAGAUAUCACGAAGAACUCCGAUUGCGAAGGCAGUUCACUGGACUGCAACUGACACUGAGGCUCGAAAGUGUGGGUAUCAAACAGGAUUAGAUACCCGGGUAGUC